GGGUUGUGAGGUUAAGCGACCAAGCGUACACGGUGGAUGCCCUGGCAGUCAGAGGCGAUGAAGGACGUGCUAAUCUGCGAAAAGCGCCGGUAAGGUGAUAUGAACCGUUAUAACCGGCGAUGUCCGAAUGGGGAAACCCAGUGUGACUCGUCACACUAUCAUUAACUGAAUCCAUAGGUUAAUGAGGCGAACCGGGGGAACUGAAACAUCUAAGUACCCCGAGGAAAAGAAAUCAACCGAGAUUCCCCCAGUAGCGGCGAGCGAACGGGGAGGAGCCCAGAGCCUGAAUCAGCAUGUGUGUUAGUGGAAGCGUCUGGAAAGGCGCGCGAUACAGGGUGACAGCCCCGUACACAAAAGCGCAUAUGCUGUGAGCUCGAUGAGUAGGGCGGGACACGUGGUAUCCUGUCUGAAUAUGGGGGGACCAUCCUCCAAGGCUAAAUACUCCUGACUGACCGAUAGUGAACCAGUACCGUGAGGGAAAGGCGAAAAGAACCCCGGCGAGGGGAGUGAAACAGAACCUGAAACCGUGUACGUACAAGCAGUGGGAGCAUGAGUUUACUCAUGUGACUGCGUACCUUUUGUAUAAUGGGUCAGCGACUUAUAUUCUGUAGCAAGGUUAACCGUAUAGGGGAGCCGGAGGGAAACCGAGUCUUAAUUGGGCGUUAAGUUGCAGGGUAUAGACCCGAAACCCGGUGAUCUAGCCAUGGGCAGGUUGAAGGUUGGGUAACACUAACUGGAGGACCGAACCGACUAAUGUUGAAAAAUUAGCGGAUGACCUGUGGCUGGGGGUGAAAGGCCAAUCAAACCGGGAGAUAGCUGGUUCUCCCCGAAAGCUAUUUAGGUAGCGCCUCGUGAAUUCAUCUCCGGGGGUAGAGCACUGUUUCGGCCAGGGGGCCAUCCCGGCUUACCAACCCGAUGCAAACUGCGAAUACCGGAGAAUGUUAUCACGGGAGACACACGGCGGGUGCUAACGUCCGUCGUGAAGAGGGAAACAACCCAGACCGCCAGCUAAGGUCCCAAAGUCAUGGUUAAGUGGGAAACGAUGUGGGAAGGCCCAGACAGCCAGGAUGUUGGCUUAGAAGCAGCCAUCAUUUAAAGAAAGCGUAAUAGCUCACUGGUCGAGUCGGCCUGCGCGGAAGAUGUAACGGGGCUAAACCAUGCACCGAAGCUGCGGCAGCGA
Molecule: ribosomal RNA, 1180 nt
Filed under: Salmonella enterica subsp. arizonae serovar 41:z4,z23:-
Lineage: Bacteria; Pseudomonadati; Pseudomonadota; Gammaproteobacteria; Enterobacterales; Enterobacteriaceae
Description: bacterial LSU rRNA
Rfam family: Bacterial large subunit ribosomal RNA
Source: RNAcentral